RNAcentral lists this unclassified non-coding RNA (3963 nucleotides) under Anneissia japonica. RNAcentral's name for it is "wD repeat-containing protein 20-like, transcript variant X3". Lineage: Eukaryota; Metazoa; Echinodermata; Crinoidea; Comatulida; Comatulidae. The record is from RNAcentral.
GAGAUAUAAUAUUUAACCUUAAAUUUAUUAUAAGAAGUAGCCUUAUUCUGAUUGUUGUCUUAAUGACAUUGCAGUUUGGGCUGAACCGGGGGCGGAACUCGACGAGAACCAAAAUUAAAAGUAAAGUUCAGCAAUUUUUUUGACAUUUACAUCCGGGUUAUUCUAUUCCGAAACCAUCAUGGCCGCCUCUGAUGGCUCUGGGAAAGACGAAGUCAAAACACAGUUUACAACUCGUGAGGGCCUUUAUAAACUUAUGACUUUAUCAGAGUAUUCACGACCUACAAGAGCACCAUAUAAUGUACAAUGCUGUCAUCCUGUAAAGGUUUCAUUCGUAGCUGUUAAGGAUGGCUCAGGCUCCAACGAGAAAAUUUGUUUCAACGUCGGACGCGAGCUGUAUUUUUACCUGUACAAAGGCGUGCGGAAGGCUGCAGAUUUAACAAAACCAAUAGAUAAACGCACAUACAAGGGAGGGACACUACCAACGUGUCACGACCUAAAUCAGUUCACAGCAGGUGAGAAUGGCGUGGCGUUACUUAUCGGAUUCUCUGCUGGACAAGUUCAACUAAUUGACCCAAUCAUGAAAGAUGUUAGCCGAAUAUUUAAUGAUGAGCGACUUAUAGACAAAACAAAGGUUACUUGUGUGAAAUGGGUUCCCGGUACAGAACAUAUGUUUCUUGUGUCACAUUCUAGUGGUCAGUUGUAUGUUUAUAAUAGGGAGCACCCAGUCUUCAAUACGCCCCCUCAAUAUCAAACUUGGAAGCACGGAGAUGGGUACGCCAUAUAUACAUGCAAGACAAAGUCCAAUCGGAAUCCAGUAUUUCGAUGGAUUGUAGGUGAGGGCUCCCUAAAUGAGUUUGCAUUCUCACCGGAUGUCAAAUACCUUGCUACAGUUUCUCAAGAUGGUUUUCUACGCAUUUUCAAUUAUGAUACUAUGGACCUAGUUGGCUCAAUGAAAAGCUACUUCGGUGGACUCCAGUGUGUGAGUUGGAGUCCUGAUUCAAAGUAUGUUGUAGUUGGCGGUGAAGAUGAUCUAGUAACUGUAUGGUCUUUUGUUGAAAAACGAGUCGUUGCAAGAGGUAAAGGACAUAAAUCGUGGGUCACGACAGUCUGUUUUGACCCGUACACUUCGGAAAUCUUAAAUCAUAAUGAGGAUUUCAUGGGAAGCGAUGACGAUUUUACCUCACCGCACGAUCAGCGCUCACCUGGAUCUAGAAGAGAACGUACUUUGAGCAGUCAAUCGAGGAAUUCAAUUCAAAGUAAUGGUGGUGUACCACCGGUGCUUUACAGAUUCGGCUCUGUAGCCCAGGACACUCAGCUAUGUCUGUGGGAAUUUACAGAAGAUCUUUUAAAACAGAAUCAGCCUCUUUCUUGGCAACGGACAAACAUGCAAAGUCCCGUAAGUAGUCUAGCGCAGUGCAAUAGUCUAUCGUCACAAGGCAAGACAUCCAGCAACACAAACACCAGCCAUCAUUCAGAUGGCGGGGUGCAUAGUAGGUUUUCAACGCUAAGCCUUGGUGAUAAACAUAAAGAUAAAAGUAAAAAGGAAUCUGUUUCAAGUAAAAGUGGAGAGAAAAUGAACAUUCUCAGCAAGAUCCAUCAGAAAAUCUUAGAAGACUCGGCAAAGGCAAUUGGUACGCCGAUGUGCCCGAGGAUUGAUGAACUGAUUAUACUUGAACCGUUAAUCGCAAAAAAGAUCGCACACGAACGGGUGACCUCACUUAUAUUUAAGGAAGACUGUAUUGUUACAGCAUGUCAAGAAGGCUUUGUUAGUACGUGGGCUAGACCAGGCAAAGUGCCCAACCAUGCCCCAGAUCUCACGGGCAGAGGGGAGAUGCACUCUGAGAAAUCCCACUAAUUUGAGGGACUAAUGCAGUCAACUACAUCGGUGCCAGGCGGUACAGUGGUCUGAUAGAUCUUUGAGGUUUACCAGAACGCCCUCCGCACAACACCAGUUGCUGACCUUUCAUUGUCAUCUGGAGUCAACAAAACACAGGCUCCUAUAGUACUGCAAAGUUCCAGAUUGGUAUACAGUCAGGGUGCAUGUACUGUAGAGUGUGGUGCUGAGAAAGCUUCAUGCUUCCUUGGCCUGUCUUACAUCCACUGGUCUUAGUGAUGGCAAUCUUUUGGCAGUGAUCUUAAAUAGCUGUUGUACAGUAUAUACUCAAGUGGUCAGCCGUAGUUAAAACCAUAUUCAAAUGACAUCCAUCAGUUCUUAAGGAUUUAUCUUGACUGGCAUUGAUUCCACAGUGGUCAGCCUGACUGGACUCGGACACUAGAUUGGUCAGCCUGAAGUAACAUCCAGGAUGUAUGGACUCUUGAUUGAGCUUUUAUGGAUGCAAGAUGUCGGCUUUGAUCAGGGGUCAGCCUGAAUAUUCAACUGUACCGGGAAUGUACAAUGUUAUGACUCAAGAUACAGUAUCAGUCAUUGAUCCACAUUGGUCAGGCUGGCAUCCAGUGUUCUUGUUGGUUCUUAAGAUGUCAGCAAGAAUUCAGUGGUGGUCGUUCUCAUUUUGUUACGUUAAAUAUCUUGCUUAAUUACUUCCAAAAUAAAUUCUAAAAAGUGGUAAGCGUCCCACAAUAUCUUGCUUAUUUUAAAACAUUGCAUCUAGCAAUGUUUUUCAUAUCACAGGAUAUGUUUUGCCAUUCAGUAAUACCAUUUGGGGAAAUGGGAAAUCAAAACGAUGUCUGACCCAGUUUUGAAAUAUAUUCAACCAACUAUUUAACUAUAUAGGAAUCAUGUAUGGUAUGUUGACUUUUAAAAUUGAUAAGUACAGCGUGUUCCAUUGCUGCCAGAUAAUUUUUGUUUUGUGAAUAUUUUUUGUAAAUUGUGCAAAACUUUAUAGAACCACUGGCCUAAUACAGUCUCCUCAGCAGUUUUAUUUAUCAUUUCUUGUUUUAAUCAAUUUUUUUUUUUUCUGAUAUGAAGUAUACAGUCAAUAUUCUGCACAAUAUUAAAUUUUCAAAGAAUUUUAUAUUCCUCAAGAUUAAAUUGUUUUAAUCUCAAAAUGAGAAAUAUAGUUUGUUUGCAUACUUUUGUAGGGGAGGGAGACGGCUAAUUUCAACUCUCUUUAAAGUUCUUAAAAAAAAGCCGAAUGAUGUGAAUACAUAAGAAAUUUAAACAAUAUCUAAAUUCUUUAAUACAUGUGCGCAGCAUAUACUGUACCGUAUAUACUCACGCAUACAAGACGACCCCCAAGUUUGAGAAGAUUUUUGGACAAUUUUUGUAUGUCAGGUAUACAAGAUGACCCCCUCCCCCUUGUUUCAUCGUCGGUAUUUCUACUUUUUGCUGCUUUUUAUAGGCUUGAUACUGCAUCUAGCUGGCUAAAGCGGGGCCAGAUAUAGGGGAAAUCCUUCAAAUAUUACCAUUUUAUGGGCUUCUAAAUGUUUGUCAAAAUAUUAUUUCCCAGCAUUUAAAAUUGCAUUCAUUCAUACUAACCGUUAGUAGUUUUUAAUUUCAUUUGUAAAUUUGUGUGUUACAGACUAUCCGCACAUAAGACGAACAUGAUUUAAAAAUAAAAAAUUUGUAUGUGUUGCGCGUAUAAGAUGAGAAUAUAUGGUACUAAUGCUGUAUUAUAUUAUUUUGGUGAAUUUUCAUAGUGAAUCUGGUUCUCAAAUCAAAUACCAUGAUAUGAAAUCCUGGUGGCUACUUCUAUAGACAAUACUCAGUUUUGUAAUUCGUAACUUUGUCCUGAAACACUUACCGGUGAUUAAAUGACCGAUUGGUUGAUGAAGGAGGCUGGUACCUCUCAUAGUAAUGUAAACUGAAAAGUUGUGUGUUCUCAAAUUAUUUAAGCCUAACAUUUUUUUUUUACAAAUUUUUGUAAUUUUAUUGAUAAAAGAAUUAUUAAUUUCAAUCCACAUUAGGUGGUACUUCAUAGAAGUAUGUACUUUUAUAUAGAUCAGCAAUGUAUGAAAUUGUGGGGGACAAUUGUGUUGGAAUUAUCUGCCUCUGUCAAAAAUAUG